GACGGGGACCCGCACAAGCGGUGGAUGAUGUGGAUUAAUUCGAUGCAACGCGAAAAACCUUACCUACCCUUGACAUGUCUGGAAUCCCGAAGAGAUUUGGGAGUGCUCGCAAGAGAACCGGAACACAGGUGCUGCAUGGCUGUCGUCAGCUCGUGUCGUGAGAUGUUGGGUUAAGUCCCGCAACGAGCGCAACCCUUGUCAUUAGUUGCUACGAAAGGGCACUCUAAUGAGACUGCCGGUGACAAACCGGAGGAAGGUGGGGAUGACGUCAAGUCCUCAUGGCCCUUAUGGGUAGGGCUUCACACGUCAUACAAUGGUCGGGACAGAGGGUCGCCAACCCGCGAGGGGGAGCCAAUCCCAGAAACCCGAUCGUAGUCCGGAUUGUAGUCUGCAACUCGACUACAUGAAGUCGGAAUCGCUAGUAAUCGCGGAUCAGCAUGUCGCGGUGAAUACGUUCCCGGGUCUU
This 466-nucleotide ribosomal RNA is filed under the name uncultured Bordetella sp. RNAcentral describes it as "bacterial SSU rRNA". It matches the Rfam family "Bacterial small subunit ribosomal RNA", at positions 912 to 1382 of the family's 1533-position model. Lineage: Bacteria; Pseudomonadati; Pseudomonadota; Betaproteobacteria; Burkholderiales; Alcaligenaceae. The record is from RNAcentral.